Molecule: long non-coding RNA, 560 nt
Filed under: Olea europaea subsp. europaea
Lineage: Eukaryota; Viridiplantae; Streptophyta; Magnoliopsida; Lamiales; Oleaceae
Source: RNAcentral
UGAUAUGAUUUUUUUAAGGCUUUUCCAUUCAGAUCAAGUAGAAGCUUUACUGACCCGUCGUCACCAUCACCAUCCCUAACAACCCCUUACCCAAAACAAAAGAAAAAGAAUACAGCAAAUGCCUAAAUGUAGGGACAAACUGUUGAUGAUUAACAUACCAGUUGCUCGAGAGGCCUUGAUGACAAAACCAUUAGGUUUCAUUCUAAUAACAUGAGUGAAUGUUCUCACGUAAUCUUUAUGGUUCAAUAUUUCUCUUCCACCUACCAAUAUGGUAGCACAAUAUUAUAUUCAUCUUCACUACCUGCAAUUCCACCAUGAAUAUUAUACAUCUUUAUGUACUGCAUGUUGUAAAAAUUCCCAAAAUUUAGGGGAGCAACCUGUGUACAUUAACCAGCGCAACAAGCAGCAUCGAUCUCAUGAUGAUUGGAAAAAUUCACAUGACAAGGAAAAAAAAAAACCUCUGACAGGCAUUGAAGUGUGAGGUUGUGUUAACCAGGCACGGGAAAUAAUUUGAGGAGUGUCUCAAGCUAUCAAAUGAAAGGGCCCAAUAAAUUACUUCA